UCUCCGUUGGUGAACCAGCGGAGGGAUCAUUACCGAGUUUACAACUCCCAAACCCCUGUGAACAUACCAUUUGUUGCCUCGGCGGUGCCUGCUUCGGCAGCCCGCCAGAGGACCCAAACCCUUGAUUUUAUACAGUAUCUUCUGAGUAAAUGAUUAAAUAAAUCAAAACUUUCAACAACGGAUCUCUUGGCUCUC
This 195-nucleotide unclassified non-coding RNA is filed under the name plant metagenome. RNAcentral's name for it is "partial contains small subunit ribosomal RNA, internal transcribed spacer 1, and 5.8S ribosomal RNA". The record is from RNAcentral.